RNAcentral lists this unclassified non-coding RNA (1169 nucleotides) under Leishmania donovani. RNAcentral's name for it is "gene:LdHU3.13.1750(CDS-product:hypothetical_prote in)". Lineage: Eukaryota; Euglenozoa; Kinetoplastea; Trypanosomatida; Trypanosomatidae. The record is from RNAcentral.
ACACGCGCCCACCAUCGUGGAUGGGCAGGUGUGCUUCGGUGGUCAGCGCCUCUGGUCUUCUCCCUUUCUCCACAACUUCGCAUUCCGAAUCAAGCGAAUGCGUGCACGUCUUUCGCGGCUGGCCGACUCUCGGUCCCGUGAUCGAAGGCGGCAUGAUGCGCAACGUCAUCAUUGUGUGUUACCAUGCUGUCAUUGAGAAUGCAAUGUCCUUGACGAUGGAGACGAUCACCUGACCUGGGUUGGGCAACAGGGCAAUUAUGGUGGAGCUGGCCCUCGACUUGCUUGACGAGGACGCGAAGGCGAGCACUGUCGAGGUCUUCGACAUCGCCACAGCCAGUACCCCAGCAACGACGGCUGCCGCCGCCGCCUCACCGGCCCCUCGUCACCCGACUCGGCGCUGUGUUCAAGGAAGCUCGGCAACUACCACAAGCUCCGUCAAGAAAAAAGGUGCGCUUCUGGGCCGAAGAACGUAUCACGUCUUGAUGCAGCGGGCCGACGGCUACAAUGCAGAACUGAUGAAGAGGCUGCAGAUCAACUCCAAGGGCUACGACACGCUCCUCUCCGUCCUUUGCUCUUCCUUCUUCCGCAAGAAGCUCAAUAAGCCUACCACCAUCGCGUUUAGCGACCCCAUCGUGCAGCAUAUGGCCGCAGAGCGCUAACUUGGCACACGCGCUCCAGCCGACAUUGUGAAGUGUGGUCACCUUCUCCACCUAGCAGCAGACGCAGCACUGAAGACGGAUGGGGCGACACCCAAGUCACAGCCAAAGCCGCAGCGGCAGCAAGCAGCCGUUCCGCAGCAACCGUAAGACAGAGAACAAGGGUUACAGGUAAGCGGCUGUGUCUGUGCGUUGAAGUGGGCCGGUGCUGCUGCCAGUGCUGCGCGCCGUGACUAGCGUCUCACGCCCUCCCGUAUUUCUCGCAGCCUCCCUUUCCGCUUCUACGCCAAGCAGUCGAUCAGGCUUGUCGCGCCUAUGCGGGGAAGAUGCCCGUUGAAUGCGGGGAGUGGGGGAGGUGACGGAAGCCAACGCACGAGGGAUACCGCGACGGUGUCAAUGCUGUCGGCAGUGGUGAGUGCCCAUGUGAUGGGACGUGUUGGUGGGCUUGUGUGUGCACUCUGCGUUGGUGUUCAAUACGGUUCAGGUGAACAACAAGCGAACAGCGAGAGCGGA